RNAcentral lists this transfer RNA (70 nucleotides) under Normanichthys crockeri. RNAcentral's name for it is "tRNA-Val". It matches the Rfam family "tRNA". From Rfam's summary of the family: Transfer RNA (tRNA) molecules are approximately 80 nucleotides in length. Their secondary structure includes four short double-helical elements and three loops (D, anti-codon, and T loops). Lineage: Eukaryota; Metazoa; Chordata; Actinopteri; Perciformes; Normanichthyidae. The record is from RNAcentral.
CAGAGCGUGCUAAAUAAGAAAGUACCUCCCUUACACCGAGGAGUUAUCCGUGCAAUUCGGAUCGCCCUGA